UUACCGAGUUAUACAACUCCCAAACCCCUGUGAACUUACCUAUAACGUUGCUUCGGCGGGAAACCGACGGCCCCGUAAGACGGGCCGCCCCCGCCAGAGGACCCCCUAACUCUUGUUAUAUCCUGUUUCUCUGAGUACAACAAGCAAAUAAAUUAAAACUUUCAACAACGGAUCUCUUGGCUCUGGCAUCGAUGAAGAACGCAGCGAAACGCGAUAAGUAAUGUGAAUUGCAGAAUUUAGUGAAUCAUCGAAUCUUUGAACGCACAUUGCGCCCGCCAGUAUUCUGGCGGGCAUGCCUGUCCGAGCGUCAUUACAACCCUCAGGCCCCCGGGCCUGGUGUUGGGGAUCGGCGGAGCCCUCCGGGGCACACGCCGUCCCCCAAAUUCAGUGGCGGUCUCGCUGCAGCCUCCAUUGCGUAGUAGCUAACACCUCGCAACUGGAAGGCGGCGCGGCCACGCCGUAAAACCCCCCAACUUCUGAAUGUUGACCUCGGAUCAGGUAGGAAUACCCGCUGAACUUAAGCAUAUCAAUAAGCGGAGGAAAAGAAACCAACAGGGAUUGCCUCAGUAACGGCGAGUGAAGCGGCAACAGCUCAAAUUUGAAAUCUGGCUCUCGGGCCCGAGUUGUAAUUUGUAGAGGAUGCUUUUGGUGCGGUGCCUUCCGAGUUCCCUGGAACGGGACGCCAUAGAGGGUGAGAGCCCCGUCUGGUUGGAUGCCAAUCCUCUGUAAAGCUCCUUCGACGAGUCGAGUAGUUUGGGAAUGCUGCUCUAAAUGGGAGGUAUAUGUCUUCUAAAGCUAAAUACCGGCCAGAGACCGAUAGCGCACAAGUAGAGUGAUCGAAAGAUGAAAAGAACUUUGAAAAGAGAGUUAAAAAGUACGUGAAAUUGUUGAAAGGGAAGCGCUUGUGACCAGACUUGGGCUUGGUUGAUCAUCCAGGGUUCUCCCUGGUGCACUCUUCCGGCCCAGGCCAGCAUCAGUUUGCCCCGGGGGAUAAAGGCGUCGGGAAUGUGGCUCCCUCCGGGGAGUGUUAUAGCCCGGCGCGCAAUACCCUGAGGCGGACUGAGGUUCGCGCAUCGCAAGGA
RNAcentral lists this ribosomal RNA (1082 nucleotides) under Fusarium phaseoli. Its description in RNAcentral is "eukaryotic LSU rRNA". The stretch from base 485 to 1082 matches the Rfam family "Eukaryotic large subunit ribosomal RNA", at positions 1 to 610 of the family's 3401-position model. The record is from RNAcentral. Lineage: Eukaryota; Fungi; Ascomycota; Sordariomycetes; Hypocreales; Nectriaceae.